ACUAAGAAGUGCAAUACACUCAAGCAAAAGUUGAAGUGCGGGCCAUUUUCUAUGCUAUUUAUAAAAUUACUUGCGGGCCAAUUAAAACCGGACUUUGGACACGCCUGCAAUAACUACUAAGAUUAGAAGUGCUAUAUUUAAAUAGACUGUCAGUGUGUUUGCCACUGUCUCUCAUUGACAUGUAUUUUGUGCUUUAAAGCUUUUUUUGUCUAAAAAGUGUUCUAAGCCAAGAGUUUAUCCAAACAGCCACUGAGAUGUGAGGUCGUACAUGUACACAGAAUAAACAUGCAUGUAUGAAAUUCCUUCCUGCACAAUUCCCAGUAGCGUGUUGGUUUGAGCUGGAGCACGCCUUCAGUAUGCCUGUGAGGCCUGGUCUAAUGAGAGUCUCACUCCAGCGUAAAAACCUGAUCUCACAAGUCAAGCGUGUAGGAGUCGUUUUUAAAGCAGCUACAGUGGUCACGUAUUAAUUGUUAACUUCAGACAAAGUCUCUGCGUUUCCUGACCCGACCUAUCAGCCCAUGCCUCGUCUCUCGUCUCUCUUUUCUCAUUAGACUGAGUAGAAGCAUCGGGAGUUGCUACACUUUGAGAGUAGGCGGCAGUGCUCAGGGAGAAAAUGAGAAAACAGUUAAGAUCCUACUAUCCUGUCCAGUACUGUUAUUAAGAGGAUGGAGCAUCAUUCAUCACAUCUCCCAUUGACUGCAGUCCUUUCACCUCUCUAUUACUUCAUUAAAGCUGCUGUGAGGCAAAGGAAAGAAAACAGAGACGUCUUUGCCAAGUUGAUAUUGACUUGUAUUCAAACUGCCAAGCAAAGCAGUUAAAUUAGAUUUGAGAAGAUUCAAUUAAAUGUCUUGUGUUAAUGUAUCCCUCUGCCACUGUUCAAAAAAUUAUCUGACAUAAAUUUAAUAUGCUGAGCUUGUGACUGUGCGGUCAUCUUGAUGGGAAAAAGAAAGAAAAUUGUUCCAUUUCAUGGAGGACUGAAGUCCUGCAAUACUGUACUGAUACUUUUCUCUGCUUCUGUUUUCUCAGCAUGUAGUCUGUGUCUGUAUAUCUGUGUUUUCAUGGUCGGUGUGCACUUUUCUUUCAGUGGUGUUAAAAAGUAUUUCAAACUCAAUAAGCAGUUCAAUACAUCAUUGUAGUGGGAGGAAAUGUUCCCUUUCAAAUUUAUGGAAAUUUCAUUUUGUCUGGAAAGCUUCAGGAGAAAAUUAGAUGUGCAUAUGCUUAAAAGUCGACUGCCACGAUUGGGUAAGUGCCAGGCAUACCUCAGCAUGAUUCACUGUGCCCUAUGCAGAUUGCAAAUGUACAAGGUCACACACAGUCACAAAGACAGAUUACAGGAAACUACAUGAAACAUACAGGAACACACAGGAAAACCUAUCAAUCUCAUUUUCAAAUGUGAUACUGAAGAUUGAGCUAGUUGCAACUCUCUAAUGAGGUACUUCCUUUUGCCUGCAGUCAACCAGCUAGAUUGCUUAGAUUUGGAGCUACCGAAAAUGUUCAGCAGAGUUUUAUGGGCCCAGCCGAGAGUGUCUGAGAUGCUGGUAAGACCACUGCUGUCCUCAACAUCCAGACAUGGCCUAUCUCAGGCAAAUUACUCACUGUGUACAGUAGUACAGUGUAGUUUAGCCUCUUCAACCCUUAGACUCAUAUAGACAUGUGAGGGAGAUGUUUGGAGCUAAAUAGUUUAAACAUUUUACUUAAAAUAGUAACAAGGAAUGAGUACCAGAUUAUUGUUUUGAGUAUUUAACCUGCAGUGUUAAUAAACCUACUGAUCUGCCACCAAAGUUCUUUGUUCUUGUAUUUUUUUGUAGUGAAGUUAUGUAAAAACCUGUCAAUGACAGUGUGCGUGUGUGUGUUUGUGUGUGUGUGUUCACAGCAUUUGAGACUUAUGAACUUUGACUGAUGAGGUGAUUAUGAGGAAGGUGAUCAGUAUGGAAGGUCUGUUAGUGUCCACUCUGGUCCACCUGAUGGGAAGUUCAUUAUGGGAUGGUGAACCUAAAGGUCUGUGUCGAUGCCUGCACGCCUAACUCUCUUUUGCGACCGCAUUUUGUCCAUGGAGCAUUUCCAUUACACUGCACCAACCACGCAUGUGUACGAGGCCGUCCACUUAAAGCAAACUUCAAAGAAGUGUAACAGGAAUGACAACUUGACCCCUGGGUCGUACUUAUCCAGAAUGGAGUAUGAUUUAGGCCUAAGUCGUCAUAGGUGGUGUCAGAAGAGAACAUUGUAUAAUAUGAUCAGCUAUAUGAAAUGUAUCUUUUUAUCUUAUUAUUAAGGACAUGUCUAAGUGACUUUUCACCUAGUAACUUGUGUGCAGCUACUAACCGCUUCCUGUCUUCAGAGAACAGAGAAGUGAAGACUCAGCUCUAUUAGAAGAACAUGCAAAUGUAGUGAAGGGGAAAAACCCGCGGCUCUAAAUGACGUUGUUACCUUUGUACACACGUACACACACACACACACACACACACACACACACACACACACAAAACAUCUUGUAUAAAUAAAGGACGCGGACAGUCAAUAGACGCAGAUCCUGCGUCUAAAGGGCUGCCCUCGCGAGCGAAAGAA
Molecule: long non-coding RNA, 2565 nt
Organism: Oreochromis niloticus (Nile tilapia)
Lineage: Eukaryota; Metazoa; Chordata; Actinopteri; Cichliformes; Cichlidae
Exons: 2
Source: RefSeq, a predicted model, not a curated record